This 111-nucleotide ribosomal RNA is filed under the name Triticum aestivum (bread wheat). RNAcentral describes it as "partial small subunit ribosomal RNA". The record is from RNAcentral. Lineage: Eukaryota; Viridiplantae; Streptophyta; Magnoliopsida; Poales; Poaceae.
AUGCUUACUCUCAAACAUUUUGUUUAUAUAGUAGUGAUAUUCUUUGUUUCACUCUUUAUCUUUGGAUUCUUAUCUAAUGACCCAGGACAAAAUCCUGGAUGCGAGGAGUAA